GAGUUUGAUCCUGGCUCAGAACGAACGCUGGCGGCGUGGAUAAGACAUGCAAGUCGAACGGAGAUUCUUUGGAGCUUGCUUUAAAGGGUCUUAGUGGCGAACGGGUGAGUAACACGUGAGUUACCUGCCCCGAAGUGGGAGAUAGCCCGGAGAAAUUCGGAUUAAUACCCCAUGUGAUCGUAAGAUUAAAGGCGGCGCAAGCUGUCGCUUCGGGAUGGGCUCGCGGCCUAUCAGCUAGUUGGCGGGGUAACGGCCCACCAAGGCGAUGACGGGUAGCUGAUCUGAGAGGAUGAUCAGUCACACUGGAACUGAGACAC
Molecule: ribosomal RNA, 317 nt
Filed under: uncultured verrucomicrobium 159ev
Lineage: Bacteria; Pseudomonadati; Verrucomicrobiota
Description: bacterial SSU rRNA
Rfam family: Bacterial small subunit ribosomal RNA
Source: RNAcentral